This 496-nucleotide ribosomal RNA is filed under the name uncultured bacterium. RNAcentral describes it as "partial 16S ribosomal RNA". It matches the Rfam family "Bacterial small subunit ribosomal RNA", at positions 28 to 506 of the family's 1533-position model. The record is from RNAcentral.
GAUGAACGCUGGCGGCGUGCCUAAUACAUGCAAGUCGAGCGAACAGACGAGGAGCUUGCUCCUCUGACGUUAGCGGCGGACGGGUGAGUAACACGUGGAUAACCUACCUAUAAGACUGGGAUAACUUCGGGAAACCGGAGCUAAUACCGGAUAAUAUAUUGAACCGCAUGGUUCAAUAGUGAAAGACGGUUUUGCUGUCACUUAUAGAUGGAUCCGCGCCGCAUUAGCUAGUUGGUAAGGUAACGGCUUACCAAGGCGACGAUGCGUAGCCGACCUGAGAGGGUGAUCGGCCACACUGGACCUGAGACACGGUCCAGACUCCUACGGGAGGCAGCAGUAGGGAAUCUUCCGCAAUGGGCGAAAGCCUGACGGAGCAACGCCGCGUGAGUGAUGAAGGUCUUCGGAUCGUAAAACUCUGUUAUUAGGGAAGAACAAAUGUGUAAGUAACUAUGCACGUCUUGACGGUACCUAAUCAGAAAACCACGGCUAACUACGU